AUGUCACCGGAUUCUACACCUUCAUCUCCGAUGACUUCUUCGUCGCCACCUCCUGAUUCUACCUUGGCUAGUCCUCCUUCUCUUGUUCCAUCUCUUCCUCAGCAUUACACUCGUCGUUCACGGCCUGUGGAUGCUUCCUUGGCUGAGUCGUCCUCUUCCUCUCAGUCUACUUAUGGCUUGCGUUCUCGUCCUCGUCCGCCUAUUGAUCGCUUUGGAUUUCCCACCGCUGGUGCUGCUGUUCUUGAGCCGACUUCUUACCAUCAGGCUGUUGUUUAUCCUGAAUGGCAAUUUGCGAUGGCAGAGGAGAUUGCUGCUCUUGAACGCACUGGUACCUGGGAUCUUGUUUCUCUUCCUCCCGGAGUCCGUCCCAUCACUUGUAAGUGGGUCUACAAAGUUAAGACUCGCUCCGAUGGUUCUCUUGAGCGUCACAAAGCUCGUCUCGUGGCUCGUGGUUUUCAGCAGGAGCAUGGUCGUGAUUAUGACGAGACUUUUGCUCCUGUGGCCCAUAUGACCACUAUUCGUACACUUCUUGCCGUUGCCUCUGCACGCCACUGGUCUAUAUCUCAGCUUGAUGUUAAGAAUGCCUUUCUUAAUGGUGAGCUGCGUGAGGAGGUGUACAUGCAGCCACCACCUGGGUAUUCUGUUCCUGAUGGCAUGGUGUGUCGUCUUCGUCGCUCUCUCUAUGGCCUUAAGCAAGCCCCUCGCGCCUGGUUUGAGCGUUUUGCUUCUGUGGUCACUACUGCUGGUUUUUCAGCAAGUGUUCAUGAUCCCGCAUUGUUUAUUCACCUUUCUCCUCGUGGCCGGACUCUUCUUCUUCUCUAUGUUGAUGAUAUGGUCAUCACUGGGGAUGACCCCGAGUAUAUUGCCUUUGUAAAGGCCCGUCUUAGUGAGCAGUUUCUUAUGUCUGAUCUUGGACCUCUUCGCUAUUUUCUUGGGAUUGAAGUCUCUUCUACCUCUGAUGGCUUUUUUAUAUCCCAGGAAAAGUAUAUCCAGGAUCUUCUUGCUCGUGCUGCUCUCUCUGAUGAGCGCACUGUUGAGACUCCUAUGGAGCUCAAUGUUCACCUUCGUGCUACUGAUGGUGACCCUCUUCCUGACCCGACGCGUUAUCGUCAUCUUGUUGGCAGUCUUGUCUAUCUAGCUGUCACUCGUCCGGACAUCUCUUAUCCGGUUCAUAUUCUGAGUCAGUUUGUUUCUGCUCCCACAUCGGUUCAUUAUAGUCAUCUCCUUCGUGUUCUCCGAUAUCUUUGGGGCACGAUCUCUCACCGUCUCUUCUUUCCUAGCUCCAGUUCUUUACAGCUUCAGGCCUAUGCGGAUGCUACGUGGGCUAGUGAUCCUUCUGAUCGCCGUUCGCUUUCUACUUACUGUGUUUUUCUUGGCGGUUCUCUCAUUGCCUGGAAGACGAAGAAACAGAUUGCAGUUUCCCGUUCGAGUGCUGAGGCUGAGUUGCGAGCUAUGGCUCUUUUGACGGCAGAGGUGACUUGGUUACGGUGGUUACUUCAAGACUUGGUGUUUCUGUCACUACACCGACUAUGCUCUUAUCUGACAGUACAGGUGCUAUUAGCAUUGCGCGCGAUCCUGUGA
Molecule: ribosomal RNA, 1581 nt
Filed under: Triticum aestivum (bread wheat)
Lineage: Eukaryota; Viridiplantae; Streptophyta; Magnoliopsida; Poales; Poaceae
Description: partial small subunit ribosomal RNA
Source: RNAcentral